RNAcentral lists this transfer RNA (72 nucleotides) under Camelus bactrianus (Bactrian camel). It matches the Rfam family "tRNA". Rfam says of the family: Transfer RNA (tRNA) molecules are approximately 80 nucleotides in length. Their secondary structure includes four short double-helical elements and three loops (D, anti-codon, and T loops). The record is from Rfam by way of RNAcentral. Lineage: Eukaryota; Metazoa; Chordata; Mammalia; Artiodactyla; Camelidae. RNAcentral also lists the same sequence under 2 other names.
GGGGGUAUAGCUCAGUGGUACACCAUAUGCUUAGCUUGCAUGAGGUCCUAGGCUCAAUCCCCAGUACCUCCA